GGAAAGUCCUGGGCAUCCCCGGAGCCGGAACGGUCACCCUUCAAGGACGCAGAUUAGCCGCGGCUGUUCUCUUUCCCUGUCCUUGCUAUCUGGCUUGUCACACUGCCCCUGCAGUCUGCUCCUCUACUCCUGCAUGAUCGCCCUCCCCUGAAUUCCCACCUUAUCCACAAAUCCAGGCAGAGCUGAAUUCACUCCACAAACUGAAGAUACCCAAAGCUCCUGGAAGCGCUGCUGGAAAUCCCCUCCCACGUACGCAAGAGCUCUUUGAGGACCAAGAAUAAACUUCUGAAGCAUUUUCUUUUUCUUAAAUCUUGUCUGCACAUGAUGAGGAUGCAGCUGCCAGCUUGACAAGUGGGAAAGAACCACUGCGAGGUGUGAAGUACAAGGUGCCUCUGCCAGCGUGGUGAUACCCGGGGCAACAGCAAAUAGAAAUAGCAAAAGCAACAGCUCUCUUACAGGAGUGGCAGCUAUUUCCACUACUGUGACCCAGGAUGAAAGUUUGGGUGGAUUGCUCCAUUCUCACUCUGCUGUGAAAAAUUCAUAAUAAGUCUUUGUCUCUUAAUUUUAAACAUUGAACUACUACUUGCCUUCAGGCUUGGCUUCUUUAGAGUACAGUUGGAUUAUUUUCUUUCCUCAAACUUUGAGUUAGAAGAGAUGAUUUUCUCAUAUAGUCACACAAUCUCAGGUGCCACAGACUUUAAGAAAAAUUAUAUGUAUACGUAUUCCUAUUUAUAUCCUGAAACUUGUGGUUAAAUCACAAGAGUUGGCAUCAUUGGCUUUUGGAGUACCCGGACUCUUUUUCAUGUGAGGACAAAGCUUUACGCACCUUGUCUUUGAUUUCACUCCAAACACAAUUACUCCCUUGUUGGUCACAGAAGACAAUAAACAUAGCUCCGUAGAGUUCAGCAUGUCCUUUAUUUUCAUUGAAUGGAGAUGAGUCAGUUUACAAAUGAGAUCUUGGCUCUUAAAAUCAAUUCACUGAAAGCUUAAAUGCAGUCUGUGCCAUGGGAAAAAUACUGGAAAAGAUUGGAGAACUCUGCUCUGCUUAUAUCCGGAUACCUUCUGUCAGAUCUCAUCAUCCUUGGGAUUGCAGCAUAACAGGAAGGCUAAGCAUGUAUUUUCCAUCACAAAUGCCAUUAGGAACAUCAGAAUAGAGCCUUUGAUAACAAACUCAGUAGCAAUACUCACAAGUCACAAACCAGCUAAAAAGAAAAGACUACUAGAGAGAUUUAUUCAGGAAAACAAUUAAGAAGAGUUGAAAGUGGCUAGUGCUCCCUAAGGAGAACCAAAAAGUACUUUGUUGGAGGCAGAUUGUUACAGAAGGCUCAAGGUACAUCAAGGAUUAGAAGACAGGUAGGUAUCUGGGGCAAAAAGACCCAGAUUUGUGCCCCCACAAUUGAGAUGCCCAAUUAGGAGCGCAGGCAAUGAAGAGAGAGAAGCUCCUCCAAGGAACAAUUCAUAACUCAGAUGGGACAAGCUGGGGCCAAUACCUUUGUAAGGAAUACAUUCCUAGUGUCUGCAUCUCCAGCUCAGUGUGUGAACUUCAUGUAAGGCCCUAGUUAAUCUGUUUUGGUUAGACAUACCACUCAGUUAAAGCCAUUGCAGUCACACCCGUAAAGAGGUGCUCGCCGUGAUAUGCUUCAGUCUUCUUUGCAUCUUACAAACUCAGCUAAUACAAGAUAGUCUAAUACUACAACAUCCGCUCUCCCAUUUUGAGUAGCACCAAUGGAAUUAUGUCUCUCUAUACGGACAUCAUGCCAGAGCAAUGUAUGAUGUAUUAGAUGAUGACAUAAGGAAACAAACCCAGUGUAAACUGGCUGGCUAAAAUAAAAGCAUUCCUCUUUUCAAUCUUUUAAAUUCUUACCACUUGCCCCAUUGUACUUUUACUGGCAUGGGUAACGCUGAGCUGAUAUUUUGAUUAUGGCUUUUGGUGCAAAUCUUUCCUGGAGCUAACUUCAUAGCUCAUGGCUGGAGCUAAAGCAGUUUAUAGAAGGAAAAAUGCUUUGCCGACCGCUUUUAAAACUCCUGCAGAACUGAGCAUGGUCACACCCAAAAUGGUUCUUACUGAACCAGAAAGGCCAAGCUGGCACCCUCCCUGCUCCAGCUGCUCUGGGAGGAGGCGAAGACAUCCUCACAGCAGCAGCCGCAGCAGCCCCACGGCUCUCACACCUCCCGAAUCUGCUUGCAAAGCGCUGAUAAGGAAAGGCACAGCGCCCUGGCAGAAAGCCCGGGCUGGGCUGGAUUUGACAGGCCACUGGAGUUACUUCCUUGCGAUUUAUACCCUCGAGACCAACACGUCACGGAGGAGGAAACGCAAAGACAAGCUUCCAAGGACAAGGUCACCGUACUUGCCAGUAGCAAAGGCAGAAAUAGGAACAACACUCCUUUCUCUCCCAAUACCAUAAUUAUUCUGAAUAACUUUAUACCAUGAGUGUCAUUAGGACGCUGGUGGGCAGAGAUUAUGACAAUUAAAAGACAACAGCUACUGGAAGAUAAUGUGGAGAAGUUAUGGAACAAAGUUUUCAGAAAAUGGCAAGGAAAUGACAAGUUUAACCAUGAGUGAAACAGAAGCCUGAGCUGGAACUGAUUACACUUCUGAAACCAGCAUCAAUAUGAAAGAAAAAUCUGCAAGAAAGGAAAUUUCAGAUGAAUUACUCAUUUGGUACUCAUUUCAGGGAGGGGAAAUGACAGUCUGCAGUGAGAACCGAUCGGUCACUUCUCCAGCUCCACAGCAGCCUGAAACGUGAAUACCACGACUGCAGCUCACCAGGAGAGCCCAGGCCUCCGGAGAGACGUGCUUCUCCUGCAGCUCUGGACGCGUAGCUCCUGCGCUUGAGAGACGCUGAACGAAGGAUUUCCUGCUCCCACACCAUCCACAGCAGAGCCCCAAACGCUCAGCAUAACCUACAGUGUCUGUCUCAGUAUCGGGAAGGGAAAAUCAAGAGUGAUUAGUAUGCGCAGCCAUGAAUGCACAACUGAAAUAAGCCAACCAGUGGCAUUAAAUCUGCAGUAAAUAAAAGAAGCAGAGCCAAGAGACAGGGAGAGGGGAACCCCUCUCCUCCCCUUCCCUCGGGAGGAGACCAAAGGCUGGUGCAAGUCUCUCUGAGGUGAAGGGGAACAGCUGUGUGUUGUUAGUGAGCCCCUCCGACUCCUUUAUUCUAACUCAGCUCUUAAUAACACAGUAGCAGUGCAGUUUAAGGGACAACAGAAGAUAUAUAAGGAAAGGAAACCAAAAGAGGACUUUUCAGGGGCUUUUUUUUUUUUUUUUUUCAGGGCAUCCAGGAUGCUUCAAAGACUGUUCAUAUGAGUGCGGAAAGCAGCAGAAAGGCAUCCACUCAUGGAGAAUGAAAAAGCUAAUGGCAGCAGAAAAUACUGUUUUAAUGAAUGCAAAGUGUCCAUGUGACUGGAAAGCCCUUAAAUGUAAAGAGUUAGUAAUUACCAACAAAUAAGUAAUAAGAGGAAAAAUAUUCUCUGUGGUCUGGAAUGUUCGGUCGCCUCCUUUCAUCCAUCCUUCACAUAUUUAAAACUAAAUUGACUGAUUGCUAUUUUCUCUGUUAAGAAACUGGGAGUAAGGGAAGAGGCAGGAUAAGGCAUAACCCUUCAAGUCAGUGGAAUAUGAACCCAGACAGGCAAGAGGCAACGGUUCUUCAUCCCAUGCCAUGUUGCUAACCCUCGGGUUUGAAGUCUUACAGCAUAUGCUGUCAAACAUAGUGCACAUUUGUUCUGCAGGAAGAGGCCCCUCAGUGUAUCAGAUCUCUCCCCUCCCAACAUGCACCCAGCAGUCUCCCCACCCAGGAGCAGCUCCAAGUGACAACCCUCAAACCUUCCCAUGGUUUAUUCCCUUGAUGUUAGCCAAAGCAAUGGUGGGGUGAAAUUGUCACCAGAAUUUUCCUUGGCUGCCUGGGGAGAGAAGGAAAGUUCAAGGGGGACAAGAGUUUGGACCAAGGAUUGCUGGUCUAGACAGUCACCCUUUCCUCUCUGUAGCUUAGCUAAUAUUCAACCAUUGAAUAAACAAAGCCAUGCGACUGGUACGGAUUUUUAUUUGAUGAGGGAAUCAUUAGCAAGUGUAUGUCUUUCCAAGACCUCUCUUACCUGCAAAGCCACUUUGAGAUUGUGAGAAGGAUGUAUUUGUGUAUCUUGCUUAAUAAAAUGUCUCCCACACCUCUUGGGUGGUCAAGGGUACUAAACAGCC
Long non-coding RNA from Aquila chrysaetos chrysaetos, 4192 nucleotides. RefSeq lists it as uncharacterized. NCBI's taxonomy places the organism in Eukaryota, Metazoa, Chordata, Aves, Accipitriformes, Accipitridae. The transcript has 2 exons. The record is from RefSeq and is a predicted model, not a curated record.